This is a long non-coding RNA of Pogoniulus pusillus (Red-fronted tinkerbird), 699 nucleotides long. RefSeq lists it as uncharacterized. The record is from RefSeq and is a predicted model, not a curated record. Lineage: Eukaryota; Metazoa; Chordata; Aves; Piciformes; Lybiidae. The transcript is spliced from 6 exons.
GCUGGGCAGAGGGAUCCUUCUUCCAUCAUCACUGGAACUGGAUACAGACCAAAUUCCUGCAAGUCAUGUGCUCCAUUUGUUUUCUGCCAUUCCAGUACAUGAUCUUCACUACUCACUAAGGCUGCUGUAUUCUUGUUGAUGAGACUUUUACUUUGGAUCAAAGGGACUAAAUGACCUCCUGAGUUCCUUCCAACCCGGAUUACUUAACAGCUCUGUGAUCACUGCCCAGGACCAAGCCUGUGUGUAAACCCAUCUCACUGCCUCACCAACUCCUCUCUGCUUUGCUUAUGAGCUCUGAUAAGAUCACAGCUUGAGGUGCAGAGGCAGGACUGCGGCACUCAGGAGACGACUCACUCAGGUUGAUUCUCCACUCAUCAGUCAGUACAGUGCAGAACAGGAUCACAUUAAGUGACAACUGGAAUGGAAUGGAAGAUAUGCAAAUGAUAUUGUUUAUCCACCUGGACUCCAGCAUACAUCUUAAAAUCAAAAGAGGAUCUCCUGGAACUAUGCAAGUAGUCAUUCAUUUCACCAUUCAGGUGAAAUACAGGCUCAGUUCUUGGUAAAGGUUCACAUAAACUGGAUUUUUUUUUUGGUUAAUUAAUCACUUAUGUACACAGACAAGAAUCUGAGUUCACACGUGAAACGGAAUUAACAUGACAAUAAUGACCUCAAAACAUUUUUAAAGUGGUUGGUACAAAA